This is a non-coding RNA of Daldinia vernicosa, 82 nucleotides long. NCBI's taxonomy places the organism in Eukaryota, Fungi, Ascomycota, Sordariomycetes, Xylariales, Hypoxylaceae. The record is from the annotation of a RefSeq genome assembly.
GGGCGUGUAACUCAGUGGUAGAGUGCUCGCUUUGCAUGCGCAAGUCUGCGAGAAGCCCAGGGUUCGACUCCCUGCUCGUCCA